Molecule: transfer RNA, 72 nt
Filed under: bacterium
Lineage: Bacteria
Description: tRNA-Asn
Rfam family: tRNA
About the family: Transfer RNA (tRNA) molecules are approximately 80 nucleotides in length. Their secondary structure includes four short double-helical elements and three loops (D, anti-codon, and T loops).
Source: RNAcentral
UGGAGUGUAGUUCAGCGGUAGAACGAGUGGCUGUUAACCACUGUGUCGUAGGUUCGAUUCCUACCAUUCCAG